RNAcentral lists this ribosomal RNA (253 nucleotides) under uncultured bacterium. RNAcentral describes it as "partial 16S ribosomal RNA". It matches the Rfam family "Bacterial small subunit ribosomal RNA", at positions 524 to 776 of the family's 1533-position model. The record is from RNAcentral.
UACGAAGGGGGCUAGCGUUGUUCGGAAUUACUGGGCGUAAAGGGCGCGUAGGCGGUGUGUCAAGUCAGGCGUGAAAGCCCCGGGCUCAACCUGGGAACAGCGCUUGAGACUGGCACGCUCGAGUUCGGGAGAGGAUGGUGGAAUUCCCAGUGUAGAGGUGAAAUUCGUAGAUAUUGGGAAGAACACCGAUGGCGAAGGCAGCCAUCUGGACCGACACUGACGCUGAGGCGCGAAAGCUAGGGGAGCAAACGGG